GGGGGAGGGAGGGCGCGCGCGGGGCGGCGCGAGGAGCCGGCGCGCGCGCGCGCGCGCGAGGCGGCCCUUCCCGCCCUUUCCCGCCUCGCCCCCCCCAGGACUUGCCCUCCGAGUCAACAAAAGGGCGGCGCCGAGGGAGCGGGGCGGGGGUGGGGUCGGUCCCAGCUCCGCCCCGCUGGUGUUUUCAGGGCCGGGGGGGGGGAUGAAUUGAAUUUGUAGCCCCCUUCCCCGUCGAGUCCCCGCCUCCCUCGUCGUCGUCUUCCCCCUCCCUCCUUCCCCUCCCGCUCCAGCGCCGCGGCCCGCCCUCCUCCUCCUCCUCCUCCUCAGCGGGGCCGCCGACACUGCGGGGCUGGGGGGAGGGCGGGGGGCCAGGAGGGCACAGCAGGAGGAGGAGGAGGAGGGAGGGAGGAAGGAGAGGGGGUCCCCUCUCUCCCCCCACCCCCCCCAGUCAGGUCCCCCCCCUUCUCCUCCCUCCGCCCCCCAGCCUCUCUCCCCUCCGCCAGCCGAGGAGCAGCAGCCCCGCCGCCGCCGUCGCCUUCGCCGCCUUUGCAGGUAACGACCCCCCCCCCCCCCUCCGCCGACCCCCUCCCCCGGUUAGGGUGGGGGGGGGGUCGGGAAUGUUCUGGCUCAAGGAUCCUCCUCCUUCUUCCCAGGAAUUCGGGGUGUGUGUGUUUGUGUCGGGAUGUUUUCGUGGCCUAGUGUGACCGUCCCUGUCUGGCCAGAGGCUGCAUCGCCCCCCCCCCCCCCGACUCUGCGCCAUCCCCCCCUCCCCUUGGACACGGGAUGGGAGGGGGCUGUUAUGCAACGACCCCCCCACCCCGAUUGCCCCCCUCCCCACCAUCCUCCCCCACCCCCGAGACCCGCCAAAAAGGGUGGGCCUUGGGGAGGGGGCGACCCCCCCGGCCUGCGCCUUAAUAGUAGCGGGGGUGGGAUCCGGCUGGAAGUUGUGCGUUCUAAGAAUAGAAAUGUGCGGAAGAUGCUGCGUUUGGCUCCUCCAAUGAUGCCCCGGCUGCAAGUAAACAAACCGGCCUCUUCCUCCUCCUCCUUCCCUUCCCCUUUCUCCUCCUCCUGCGCAUCGAGCCGCAUCAGCCAUCAUGGUGGUGGAACCCGAAGGGGAGGCGUGGACGGGGUGGGUUUCGGGCCCCCCCUCCCCCUCGGGUCCCCCCACAACUUUCGGGGUUUGGGGGGGGGCGAGACGCCUUGGGGAGGAAGACGGCUUCGGGAUGGCGGGAGAUCACCCCACUGGAUGCCCGCCACAUGUCGGAAAGUCAAGGAGCAUCCCCGUUACCAUCAUCAUCAUCAUCAUCAUCACCAUCAUCAUCAUCACCACCGUCCUCAUCAGAAAAAGCUGAUUCACCGGGCUUUUAGGGUUCGCCGAAAGUGCACCGGAUUAGUAACCGAUCAGCGUGCUGCAGUUAAGGUUGACUGCCGAACCCUCCUCCCCACCCCAAGUUCCCCAAUAAUUACAACUUGCCGGGGAAGAAGUGACUUUUGCUUUUCUUAACACCUCAUUAACUGAAUGAAAUUGUCAACACUGAAUGAGCUUCCUUAAAAUGAGGAACUUCCUCUGCAGAUUGAAAUGAGCAGACUUCUCAAGUUCUGUAGGCACGUUGCGUGCAGCAAGUAGAUAGCAAUAUUUCUCUUUGGGUUUCACCCUUUAAAUUUUAAUUGCAUAUAUUCUUGGUUUAGAUAAAAUCUCGUCAUUUUGUCCCAGUUCUUCCACCGAUUCCUGUUAGACCGAUUUAGUGGGUACUCCGUGUCUGCUGAGGCGAAACUAGAGAAGUGGCCAAACGAUUUCGCUGCGAAGUACGAGAAUGAAGUCUAAGAGCAGCAGAUGCUUUUUUAUUUUACCUAAACUAAAUGGGCAAUCUAUAUGGUUUCUUUUUUUUGGAAGGCAGAAUCUUUGUAACUUCAAAUAUCUGAAUUAGACUCUGAGGUUUAAUAAAAUUGUUCAGAAUUGAUUUUCCUUGACUAAGGGUCGUAGAGACCAUUGACAUUCCACAUUUGAAGUGUAGCUGCAAAAUGUAGAUUUUUGAAAAGUAAACACAAGAUUUAUGUACCGAAGUGCUGUUUUUUCUUCUAGAUUCAUCUGGAGGCAUAUAUGAUAUGUAGUCACACGUCACCUCUUAACAGAAAUAUUCCAUUUUAUUUCAUUGUGGGUUGGAUCAAGUUUGCAGUGAAGAGAAAAACAGAUUACUCCACUUCCUUGUUUCCUUUAAUUGGGAAAAAUGUGAUCGCUGUAAACAUCCUUUGAAUUGUACUUUUUGUGAUGGUGACACACAUCGAAUUGGUGUUUUCCCUACUUCUCUUUUCUUGUUACUGGAUCCCCAAAUGAAGCUGUGAAAUUAAGGCUAUUUAGGAACUUCUACCAAAGCAGUCUACCCCAAACAAAUAAAAGGAUUCACUUUAUUACGAUUUCAUCGUGUCACCCAGUUGUGUUUUUGCAAUUGAGUUGCAGAUUACGGAUUCGUAAUGUUUCUGAUCGAUGUGGGCCCUGUUGCAGAGCGUGUCUUUAGUGGUCAGUUGCUUUAGCUACGAACCCCUUGCCCGUAGCUACGGAGUGCUCAUCAAGGCACAUUCUCAAAGUCCAUUUUCCUAGGAGGCGUCUCGUUGGGUUCUUUUUUACCUCAGCCCACUCUGUCACAUUUUCAACCGGUUAAUUAGGUACCAAUCCGCCAAACCGUGCCCCAUGUCCAACUGGCUAAGUAUAGAUCGUUCACUUUAAAGUUCAUUCAGAGGGGGAGGGAGGGAGCUCUUCCAGGGAUUUCAACACCACUGUGAU
This 2782-nucleotide long non-coding RNA is filed under the name Ornithorhynchus anatinus (platypus). RNAcentral describes it as "lncRNA (ENSOANG00000049698.1)". The record is from RNAcentral. Lineage: Eukaryota; Metazoa; Chordata; Mammalia; Monotremata; Ornithorhynchidae.